GAUGAACGCUGGCGGCGUGCCUAAUACAUGCAAGUCGAGCGAACAGAUAAGGAGCUUGCUCCUUUGACGUUAGCGGCGGACGGGUGAGUAACACGUGGGUAACCUACCUAUAAGACUGGGAUAACUUCGGGAAACCGGAGCUAAUACCGGAUAACAUUUGGAACCGCAUGGUUCUAAAGUGAAAGAUGGUUUUGCUAUCACUUAUAGAUGUACCCAGGCCGUAUUAGCUAGUUGGUAAGGUAACGGCUUACCAAGGCAACGAUACGUAGCCGACCUGAGAGGGUGAUCAGCCACACUGGAACUGAGACACGGUCCAGACUCCUACGGGAGGCAGCAGUAGGGAAUAUUGCGCAAUGGGCGAAAGCCUGACGGAGCAACGCCGCGUGAGUGAUGAAGGGUUUCGGAUCGUAAAACACUGUUAGUAGGGAAGAACAGAAGUGUAAGUAAAUGUGCACGUCUUGACGGUACCUAAUCAGAAAGCCACGGCUAACUACGUG
RNAcentral lists this ribosomal RNA (497 nucleotides) under uncultured bacterium. RNAcentral's name for it is "partial 16S ribosomal RNA". It matches the Rfam family "Bacterial small subunit ribosomal RNA", at positions 28 to 507 of the family's 1533-position model. The record is from RNAcentral.